This is an RNA transcript of Cucumis sativus (cucumber), 4950 nucleotides long. It is a transcript of the gene named indole-3-acetaldehyde oxidase, with no coding region annotated. The transcript is spliced from 13 exons. Lineage: Eukaryota; Viridiplantae; Streptophyta; Magnoliopsida; Cucurbitales; Cucurbitaceae. The record is from RefSeq and is a predicted model, not a curated record.
CACUGAGUGGACACGGAACGCUUUUUAACAAACUCAUUGCAAGAAUUUCAAUGCAUAGUAUUAUAUUAUCAAUCGAUUGGAAACACAAAUUUCAUAUUCCUCUGGUCUCAAUCACCCGAACAAAGAUACAUAUACAGUCUCCUCUCUACUACCGCUCCACUUCCUUCCCCAUCAUUCACUACACAAUGGAGAGGCAUCCCGACAAAGCAUCUCCCCUGCUUUUUGCUGUUAAUCAACAGAGAUUUGAGCUCUUCUCUGUAGACCCUUCCACUACUUUGCUCCAAUUCCUUCGCCAACAUACUUCUUUUAAGAGUGUCAAGCUUAGCUGUGGGGAAGGCGGUUGUGGUGCUUGUGUUGUGUUAUUGUCCAAGUAUGAUCCUGUGUUAGACAAAGUCGAAGAAUUUACAGUAAGUUCAUGCCUCACGUUGCUUUGUAGCAUACAAGGGUGUUCAGUUACAACCAGUGAAGGUAUUGGAAAUAGCAGGGAUGGUUUCCACCCAAUUCAUCAAAGGUUUGCUGGUUUCCAUGCUUCUCAGUGCGGCUUUUGUACUCCAGGAAUGUGCGUCUCACUUUUUUCAGCCCUCGUCAAUGCUGAAAAGACCAAUAGACCCGACCCCUUAUCAGGAUUCUCAAAGCUGACUGUUUCUGAAGCUGAAAAGGCCAUUUCUGGAAACCUUUGUCGUUGUACAGGAUAUAGGUCAAUUGCUGAUGCUUGUAAGAGUUUUGCUACUGAUGUCGAUGUGGAGGAUUUAGGGUUGAACUCAUUCUGGCCAAAGGGAUGUGGCAAGGAAGUGAAAUCGAGUAAAGUACCACUUUAUAGUCAAAAUAAUAGCCUGUUAUCAUUUCCAGAAUUUUUGAAAAAGGAUCUUAGGCCUAUCUCUUUUAUGGACUCUAAGGGGCGUACCUGGUUAAGUCCAGUUAACAUCAAGGAGGUGAGCAGAUUGCUAGAAUGUAACGAGACUAUCAACACAAGUAAAACAAAGUUCGUUGUUGGCAACACAGAAGUGGGAUAUUACAAAGAGUCUGAACAAGUUGAAAGAUAUAUUAAUCUUAGACACAUUCCUGAGCUUUCAGUUAUCAGAAUAGAUUCAACAGGAAUAGAGUUUGGUGCAACAGUAACGAUUACAAAAGCUAUUGAGGCCCUGAAAAAUAAUAACCAUGAACCGUCAUCCAUAGGUGAGAUGGUGUUCCAUAAAAUAGCGGUGCACAUGGAGAAAAUUGCUUCUGGGUUUGUACGAAAUACUGCAAGUAUUGGGGGAAAUUUAAUGAUGUCUCAAAGGAAACAGUUUCCUUCAGAUAUUGCCACAAUAUUUCUUGCUGCAGGUUCCAUGGUAAAUAUAUUGAGGGGUUCCAAUGAAGAAGUGAUUAUGUUAGAUGAGUUUCUCAAGAGACCUCCACUGGGUCCUAACUGUGUACUUUUAAGUGUUAAGAUCCCAAAUUUGGAUUCACUUAGAGAUAUUUAUCCAAGAGAUACUACCGUAUUGUUUGAUACUUUUAGAGCUUCGCCUCGGCCUCUUGGAAAUGCAAUGCCGUAUCUAAAUGCUGCUUUCUUAGCUGCAAUCUCUCCGUGUAAAAAUUCCAAUGGUAUCGUAGUGAAUAGCUGUCACCUAGCUUUUGGAGCAUAUGGGGCUAAGCGUGCAAUUAGAGCAAGAAAGGUUGAAAAUUUUCUAGCUGGAAAAAAUAUCGAUUAUAAUGUCAUAUAUGAAGCUGUCUCAUUGAUUCGAUCCACUAUAGUCCCUGAAAAGGGGACAUCAUUUCCAGCUUAUAGGACAAGCUUAGCAGUUGGCUUUCUUUUUGAGUUCUUAAGCUCUUUGGUUGAUGGCAGUGCUGCAAUAAAGAGUGAUUCCCUAAAUGGAUGCAUGAAUACCUCGUCAGCAUUACCUUACAACAAAUUUAGUUCAAACCAUGCCACAUUCGAUUAUAACAAAACUAAGGCUCUACUAUCAUCUGGAAAGCAGACAAUUGAAUUAAGCUCAGAAUAUCAUCCAGUUGGAGAUACGAUUAUAAAAUCUGGAGCUGCUAUCCAAGCUUCAGGUGAGGCAAUCUUUGUGGAUGAUAUUCCUUCACCAACAAAUUGCCUACAUGGAGCAUUCAUAUAUAGCAGAAGGCCUUUGGCAUGGGUGAAGGGACUGAAUCUUUCUCAUGAACCUCAACCAGAGGGAGUUAUAGCUGUUAUUUCCACAAAAGAUAUUCCUGUGGGUGGACAUAAUGUCGGUACUAGAACUAUAUUUGGCGAUGAACUUCUAUUUGCAGAUAAGUUGACCGAGUGCGUUGGUCAACCAAUUGCUUUUGUGGUAGCAAAUACGCAGAAACAUGCAGAUAUGGCUGCAGACCUUGCAGUGGUGGAUUAUGACACAGAUAAUUUGGAAGCACCUAUUCUUUCAGUAGAAAAUGCUCUUGAAAGGUCAAGUUUCUUUGAGGUCCCUUCAUUUCUGUGUCCAGAACAGAUUGGAGAUUUGUCAAAAGGAAUGGCUGAAGCAGAUCAACAUAUUAAGGCUGCUCAGAUCAAACUUGGGUCACAAUAUUAUUUCUAUAUGGAGACACAUACUGCACUUGCCAUUCCAGAUGAAGAUAACUGCAUGGUAGUCUACAGUUCAAGCCAAUGGCCAGCUAACGCGCAUUCUGUUAUUGCAAAAUGCCUUGGUGUUCCUGAAAAUAAUAUCCGUGUAAUUACUAGGAGGGUUGGAGGAGGCUUUGGUGGAAAGGCCACAAAAUCUAUGGUUGUUGCUACGGCAUGUGCACUUGCAGCUCACAAGUUACGCCGUCCGGUCAGGAUCUAUCUUAACCGGAAGACUGACAUGAUAAUGGCAGGAGGGAGACAUCCAAUGAAAGUUAAUUACAAUGUGGGGUUUAAAUCUAAUGGUAAAAUUACAGCAUUGGAAUUAGAUAUAUUGGUUGAUGCAGGGAUGAGUUGUGAUAUAAGUCCAGCUAUGCCACACAACAUUGUCAAUACACUUAGGAAGUAUAAUUGGGGUGCUUUAUCUUUUGACAUAAAAGUAUGCAAAACAAACCACACAAGCAAAUCUUCAAUGCGAGCCCCUGGAGAGGUACAAGGAUCCUUUAUUGCGGAGGCAGUAAUUGAACAUGUAGCAUCUACUCUUUGCAAGGAUGUGGAUACUAUCCGAAAAGUAAACAUGCAUACUUUUGACAGCCUCAAAAUAUUCUUCAAGGAUGCAGGUGAACCUCAAGAGUACACAUUACCUUCAAUUUGGGAUAGGUUAGCCACAUCUUCAAACUUAAAACAAAGGACUGAAAUGGUAGAUAAAUUUAAUAGUGACAAUAGAUGGAAAAAGAGAGGCCUUUCUCGAAUUCCUGUCACACAUGAGGUUAUUUUGAGACCAACCCCUGGUAAAGUGAGCAUCCUAACUGAUGCUUCUGUUGUUGUGGAAGUUGGAGGUAUUGAACUUGGCCAGGGGCUAUGGACAAAGGUAAGGCAGAUGGCUGCGUAUGCCCUUAGCUCAAUUGAAUGUGAUGGAACCAGUGACCUGUUGGAGAAGGUGAGAGUGGUUCAAGCUGAUACCAUCAAUUUAAUACAAGGAGGCUGUACAGCUGGGAGUACUACCUCUGAAUCAAGCUGUGAAGCAGUUAGACUUUGCUGCAACAUACUGGUAGAGAGACUAACAUCUCUAAAGAAAAGGCUGGAGGAGAAAAUGGGUUCGGUCAAAUGGGUUGAGCUCAUAUGUCAGGCAAACUUGCAAGCAGUGAAUUUAUCAGUUAAUUCUAUGUUUAUUCCUGACUUUGUUGCAAUGAGAUACUUAAAUUAUGGAGCUGCCGUGAGUGAGGUGGAGGUUGAUCUUCUCACAGGAGAAACUACAAUUUUGCGUGCAGAUAUUAUUUAUGAUUGUGGACAGAGUCUCAACCCUGCUGUGGAUUUGGGACAAGUUGAAGGAGCUUUUGUUCAAGGAAUUGGAUUUUUUAUGUCAGAAGAAUACCUUACAGAUCCUGAUGGACUAGUGAUUAAUGACAGCACAUGGACUUACAAAAUUCCUACUAUUGAUACCAUACCAAAACAGUUCAACGUUGAAAUUUUGAACUCCGGAAAUCAUAAAAAACGCGUUCUCUCGUCAAAAGCUUCAGGAGAACCACCAUUAGUUCUAGCUGCAUCCGUUCACUGUGCAACAAGAGCGGCCAUUAAAGAAGCACGGAAACAGUUAUGUACAUGGCGCCAUCAACUUGAGUUUGAUUACUCGUUACUAUUAGAGGUCCCUGCUACCAUGCCUGUUGUUAAAGAGUCAUGUGGGCUGGACUGUGUGGAAAGUUACCUGACAUGGAUCAAGGAAUCAAGAAGCAAUAGGAUCUGACGUGAUAUUUGGCCUCUGCAAACACAGUAGAAAAAUGAGUAGAACAGAGAUCACGGAUCAUUGGGGAAGUUAUGCUUCUGGUAGGCGGUGGAUAUGAUGAUGGCACAAUGAGGCACGUUUUCUGCAACACGGCAUUGAUAGAGCAUUUAAUUAGCAAAAGCUUUUGUUGGAGUAAAAUAUGAGCAUUUGAAAUCAAUUCAAAGGAGAAAAUGGAAUCAGCACAGAGGAGAAAUUUUCAUAAAUCGUUAAUUGAGCUAGCUUUCCAUUUUACCUCAGUUUUUCUGCUAAGCUGACCAAUAAGAAGACUCCAAUGGAAUCCCACUGACCUAUUUCAUCUGAUUUUCAUUUUAAAGGUUGAGGAGUUUAAGAUAGCCGUAUAGAUGUAAAAGAGGUUGGUUUUGGAGAAGAGGAAGCCAUUUUUCCAUGGGAGAGAAGUUGGAGGAAGAAGGGGAAGCUCUGCACCUCCUAUUUUCGGCAACUUCUCAUCUUUUUCAAUUUUUUCUUAUUCUAAACUUUAGUCUAUUGUUGUUUAUUUUUGUUUUAUGAUUUUUAAAAAUUUGCUUCCUUUAUUUUUCAGCUUGUAACAUGAAUUAAUCACUUUUAAGUGAUGAUUAGAAAUGUUAGUAUAAAUCACUUGGUUCUUUUGCAA